GACGAACGCUGGCGGCGUGCUUAACACAUGCAAGUCGAACGGUGAAGCGCCUUCCUUUUUGGUGGGUGUGGAUGAGUGGCGAACGGGUGAGUAACACGUGAGUAACCUGCCCCCUUCUUCUGGAUAACCGCAUGAAAGUGUGGCUAAUACGGGAUAUUCUGGGUCUGUCGCAUGAUGGGUCUGGGAAAGAUAUUGUUUCGGUGGGGGAUGGGCUCGCGGCCUAUCAGCUUGUUGGUGGGGUGAUGGCCUACCAAGGCGGUGACGGGUAGCCGGCCUGAGAGGGUGGACGGUCACACUGGGGAUGAGACACGGCCCAGACUCCUACGGGAGGCAGCAGUGGGGAAUAUUGCACAAGGGGCGCAAGGCUGAUGCAGCGACGCCGCGUGAGGGAUGGAGGCCUUCGGGUUGUGAACCUCUUUCGCCAGUGAAGCAGGCCUGCCUCGUUUGUGGGUGGGUUGACGGUAGCUGGAUAAGAAGCGCCGGCUAACUACGUG
This 494-nucleotide ribosomal RNA is filed under the name uncultured bacterium. RNAcentral describes it as "partial 16S ribosomal RNA". It matches the Rfam family "Bacterial small subunit ribosomal RNA", at positions 28 to 507 of the family's 1533-position model. The record is from RNAcentral.